RNAcentral lists this ribosomal RNA (1701 nucleotides) under Campylobacter coli. RNAcentral's name for it is "partial 23S ribosomal RNA". It matches the Rfam family "Bacterial large subunit ribosomal RNA", at positions 1243 to 2925 of the family's 2925-position model. Lineage: Bacteria; Pseudomonadati; Campylobacterota; Epsilonproteobacteria; Campylobacterales; Campylobacteraceae. The record is from RNAcentral.
AUUUGCGCCGAAGGUAUACCGGUAAGGAGUGCUGGAGCGAAUAGAAGUGAGCAUGCAGGCAUGAGUAGCGAUAAUUAAUGUGAGAAUCAUUAACGCCGUAAACCCAAGGUUUCCUACGCGAUGCUCGUCAUCGUAGGGUUAGUCGGGUCCUAAGUCGAGUCCGAAAGGGGUAGACGAUGGCAAAUUGGUUAAUAUUCCAAUACCAACAUUAGUGUGCGAUGGAAGGACGCUUAGGGCUAAGGGGGCUAGCGGAUGGAAGUGCUAGUCUAAGGUCGUAGGAGGUUAUACAGGCAAAUCCGUAUAACAAUACUCCGAGAACUGAAAGGCUUUUUGAAGUCUUCGGAUGGAUAGAAGAACCCCUGAUGCCGUCGAGCCAAGAAAAGUUUCUAAGUUUAGCUAAUGUUGCCCGUACCGUAAACCGACACAGGUGGGUGGGAUGAGUAUUCUAAGGCGCGUGGAAGAACUCUCUUUAAGGAACUCUGCAAAAUAGCACCGUAUCUUCGGUAUAAGGUGUGGUUCGCUUCGUAUUAGGAUUUACUCCGAAAGCGAAGAAACUUACAACAAAGAGUCCCUCCCGACUGUUUACCAAAAACACAGCACUCUGCUAACUCGUAAGAGGAUGUAUAGGGUGUGACGCCUGCCCGGUGCUCGAAGGUUAAUUGAUGGGGUUAGCAUUAGCGAAGCUCUUGAUCGAAGCCCGAGUAAACGGCGGCCGUAACUAUAACGGUCCUAAGGUAGCGAAAUUCCUUGUCGGUUAAAUACCGACCUGCAUGAAUGGCGUAACGAGAUGGGAGCUGUCUCAAAGAGGGAUCCAGUGAAAUUGUAGUGGAGGUGAAAAUUCCUCCUACCCGCGGCAAGACGGAAAGACCCCGUGGACCUUUACUACAGCUUGACACUGCUAUUUGGAUAAGAAUGUGCAGGAUAGGUGGGAGGCUUUGAGUAUAUGACGCCAGUUGUAUAUGAGCCAUUGUUGAGAUACCACUCUUUCUUAUUUGGGUAGCUAACCAGCUUGAGUUAUCCUCAAGUGGGACAAUGUCUGGUGGGUAGUUUGACUGGGGCGGUCGCCUCCCAAAUAAUAACGGAGGCUUACAAAGGUUGGCUCAGAACGGUUGGAAAUCGUUCGUAGAGUAUAAAGGUAUAAGCCAGCUUAACUGCAAGACAUACAAGUCAAGCAGAGACGAAAGUCGGUCUUAGUGAUCCGGUGGUUCUGUGUGGAAGGGCCAUCGCUCAAAGGAUAAAAGGUACCCCGGGGAUAACAGGCUGAUCUCCCCCAAGAGCUCACAUCGACGGGGAGGUUUGGCACCUCGAUGUCGGCUCAUCGCAUCCUGGGGCUGGAGCAGGUCCCAAGGGUAUGGCUGUUCGCCAUUUAAAGCGGUACGCGAGCUGGGUUCAGAACGUCGUGAGACAGUUCGGUCCCUAUCUGCCGUGGGCGUAAGAAGAUUGAAGAGAUUUGACCCUAGUACGAGAGGACCGGGUUGAACAAACCACUGGUGUAGCUGUUGUUCUGCCAAGAGCAUCGCAGCGUAGCUAAGUUUGGAAAGGAUAAACGCUGAAAGCAUCUAAGCGUGAAGCCAACUCUAAGAUGAAUCUUCUCUAAGCUCUCUAGAAGACUACUAGUUUGAUAGGCUGGGUGUGUAAUGGAUGAAAGUCCUUUAGCUGACCAGUACUAAUAGAGCGUUUGGCUUAUCUUUAAUAAAGCAU